This 484-nucleotide ribosomal RNA is filed under the name uncultured bacterium. RNAcentral's name for it is "partial 16S ribosomal RNA". It matches the Rfam family "Bacterial small subunit ribosomal RNA", at positions 30 to 507 of the family's 1533-position model. The record is from RNAcentral.
AUUGAACGCUGGCGGCAGGCCUAACACAUGCAAGUCGAGCGGCAGAAGAGUACUUGCUUCUUGUUUCAGCGGCCGACGGGUGAGUGAUGCCGAGGAAUCUCCCUAUCUGCGGGUUAUAACGUCCGGAAACAGGCGCUCUUACCGCAUACCUCCUGAGGGCGUAAGUGUGAAAUCUUCGGAUCUCCCGCUCUCAGAUGAUUCGAGGUCGGAUUAGCUAGUUGGUGGGGUAAAGGCCUACCAAGGCGACGAUCCGUAACUGGUCUGAGAGGAUGAUCAGUCACACUGGAACUGAGACACGGUCCAGACUCCUACGGGAGGCAGCAGUGGGGAAUAUUGGACAAUGGGCGCAAGCCUGAUCCAGCCAUGCCGCGUGUGUGAAGAAGGCCUUCGGAUUGUAAAGCACUUUAGGUUGGGAGGAAAAGCAGUAGGUUAAUACCUCGCUGUUUUGACGUUACCCACAGAAUAAGCACCGGCUAACUUCGUG